This 239-nucleotide unclassified non-coding RNA is filed under the name uncultured fungus. RNAcentral describes it as "partial contains 5.8S ribosomal RNA, internal transcribed spacer 2, and large subunit ribosomal RNA". The record is from RNAcentral. Lineage: Eukaryota; Fungi.
AACGCACAUUGCGCCCCUUGGCAUUCCGAGGGGCAUGCCCGUUCGAGCGUCAUUACAACCCUCAAGCCUGGCUUGGCGUUGGGGCCUGCUGUUCCCGGCAGCCCUUAAAAUCAGUGGCGGUGCCCUCUGGCUCUAAGCGUAGUAAUACCCCUCGCUACAGGGUCUGGUGGGUGCUCGCUAUCAACCCCUAAAUUUCUAUGGUUGACCUCGGAUCGGGUAGGGAUACCCGCUGAACUUAA